RNAcentral lists this transfer RNA (74 nucleotides) under Caudoviricetes sp. RNAcentral's name for it is "tRNA-OTHER". It matches the Rfam family "tRNA". Rfam says of the family: Transfer RNA (tRNA) molecules are approximately 80 nucleotides in length. Their secondary structure includes four short double-helical elements and three loops (D, anti-codon, and T loops). Lineage: Duplodnaviria; Heunggongvirae; Uroviricota; Caudoviricetes. The record is from RNAcentral.
GAGUGGAGUAGCUCAGUAGCAAGAGCGCCUGUUAUAAAUGCAGGAGGUCGAUGGUGCGAGUCCAUCCUCCACCC